GCUAAUACCGGAUAACAACACUAGACGCAUGUCUAGAGUUUAAAAGAUGGUUCUGCUAUCACUCUUGGAUGGACCUGCGGUGCAUUAGCUAGUUGGUAAGGCAACGGCUUACCAAGGCAAUGAUGCAUAGCCGAGUUGAGAGACUGAUCGGCCACAUUGGGACUGAGACACGGCCCAAACUCCUACGGGAGGCAGCAGAC
RNAcentral lists this ribosomal RNA (200 nucleotides) under uncultured bacterium. RNAcentral's name for it is "partial 16S ribosomal RNA". It matches the Rfam family "Bacterial small subunit ribosomal RNA", at positions 162 to 354 of the family's 1533-position model. The record is from RNAcentral.